Non-coding RNA from Calocera viscosa TUFC12733, 78 nucleotides. The record is from the annotation of a GenBank genome assembly. Lineage: Eukaryota; Fungi; Basidiomycota; Dacrymycetes; Dacrymycetales; Dacrymycetaceae.
GUCCGUGGCCUAGUGGAUAGAACGCGAGUAAUUUAGCGUCUAACCGAAUGGUCGCGGGUUCAAAUCCCGUCGCGGCCG